CGGACGGGUUAGUAACGCGUGGGAACGUGCCCUUCUCUGCGGAAUAGCCACUGGAAACGGUGAGUAAUACCGCAUACGCCCUUCGGGGGAAAGAUUUAUCGGAGAAGGAUCGGCCCGCGUUAGAUUAGAUAGUUGGUGGGGUAAUGGCCUACCAAGUCUACGAUCUAUAGCUGGUUUUAGAGGAUGAUCAGCAACACUGGGACUGAGACACGGCCCAGACUCCUACGGGAGGCAGCAGUGGGGAAUCUUAGACAAUGGGCGCAAGCCUGAUCUAGCCAUGCCGCGUGUGUGAUGAAGGUCUUAGGAUCGUAAAGCACUUUCGCCAGGGAUGAUAAUGACAGUACCUGGUAAAGAAACCCCGGCUAACUCCGUGCCAGCAGCCGCGGUAAUACGGAGGGGGUUAGCGUUGUUCGGAAUUACUGGGCGUAAAGCGCGCGUAGGCGGAUUGGAAAGUUGGGGGUGAAAUCCCGGGGCUCAACCCCGGAACUGCCUCCAAAACUAUCAGUCUAGAGUUCGAGAGAGGUGAGUGGAAUUCCAAGUGUAGAGGUGAAAUUCGUAGAUAUUUGGAGGAACACCAGUGGCGAAGGCGGCUCACUGGC
Molecule: ribosomal RNA, 599 nt
Filed under: Sulfitobacter faviae
Lineage: Bacteria; Pseudomonadati; Pseudomonadota; Alphaproteobacteria; Rhodobacterales; Roseobacteraceae
Description: bacterial SSU rRNA
Rfam family: Bacterial small subunit ribosomal RNA
Source: RNAcentral